Molecule: transfer RNA, 72 nt
Filed under: Deltaproteobacteria bacterium
Lineage: Bacteria; Pseudomonadati; Myxococcota; Myxococcia
Description: tRNA-Thr
Rfam family: tRNA
About the family: Transfer RNA (tRNA) molecules are approximately 80 nucleotides in length.
Source: RNAcentral
GCUGGCGUAGCUCAAAGGUAGAGCAUCGGUUUUGUAAACCGAGGGUUGUUGGUUCGAUUCCAAUCGCCAGCU